Molecule: ribosomal RNA, 615 nt
Filed under: Caulobacter sp.
Lineage: Bacteria; Pseudomonadati; Pseudomonadota; Alphaproteobacteria; Caulobacterales; Caulobacteraceae
Description: bacterial SSU rRNA
Rfam family: Bacterial small subunit ribosomal RNA
Source: RNAcentral
GGAGCGGCCCGCGUCUGAUUAGCUAGUUGGUGGGGUAAAGGCCCACCAAGGCGACGAUCAGUAGCUGGUCUGAGAGGAUGAUCAGCCACAUUGGGACUGAGACACGGCCCAAACUCCUACGGGAGGCAGCAGUGGGGAAUCUUGCGCAAUGGGCGAAAGCCUGACGCAGCCAUGCCGCGUGAAUGAUGAAGGUCUUAGGAUUGUAAAAUUCUUUCACCGGGGACGAUAAUGACGGUACCCGGAGAAGAAGCCCCGGCUAACUUCGUGCCAGCAGCCGCGGUAAUACGAAGGGGGCUAGCGUUGCUCGGAAUUACUGGGCGUAAAGGGAGCGUAGGCGGACUGUUUAGUCAGAGGUGAAAGCCCAGGGCUCAACCUUGGAAUUGCCUUUGAUACUGGCAGUCUUGAGUACGGAAGAGGUAUGUGGAACUCCGAGUGUAGAGGUGAAAUUCGUAGAUAUUCGGAAGAACACCAGUGGCGAAGGCGACAUACUGGUCCGUUACUGACGCUGAGGCUCGAAAGCGUGGGGAGCAAACAGGAUUAGAUACCCUGGUAGUCCACGCCGUAAACGAUGAGUGCUAGUUGUCGGCAUGCAUGCAUGUCGGUGACGCAGCUAAC